AGUGAACGCUGGCGGUAGUCCUAACACAUGCAAGUCGAACGGCAGCACAGUAAUAGCUUGCUCUUACGGGUUGCGAGUGGCGGACGGGUGAGGAAUACAUCGGAAUCUACUUUUUCGUGGGUGAUAACGUAGGGAAACUUACUCUAAUAUCGCAUACGACCUACGGGUGAACGCAGGUGAUCUUCUCACCUUGCGCGUUUGUAUGAGCCGAUGUCGGAUUAGCUAGUCGGCGGGGUAAAGGCCCACCAAGUCGACGCUCCGUAGCUCGUCUGAGAGGAUGAUCAGCCACACUAGAAGUGAGACAGGGUCUAGACUCCUACGGGAGGCAGCACUGGGGAAUAUUGGACAAUGGGAGGAAGCCUGAUCCAGCCAUCCCGCGUGGGUGAAGAAGGCCUUCGGGGUGUAAAGCCCUUUUGUUGGGAAAGAAAAGCCGCAGAUUAAUACCCAGCUGUUCUGACGGUACCCAAAGAAUAAGCACCGGCUAACUUCGUG
RNAcentral lists this ribosomal RNA (492 nucleotides) under uncultured bacterium. Its description in RNAcentral is "partial 16S ribosomal RNA". It matches the Rfam family "Bacterial small subunit ribosomal RNA", at positions 29 to 507 of the family's 1533-position model. The record is from RNAcentral.